GGGUGCUAUCAAACUAGCAUUAAUGCACCCGAUCACAUCAGAAAUGCUUGGGCGAGAGUAGUACUAGGAUGCGUGACCUUCUGGGAAGUCCUUGUGUUGCAUCCC
RNAcentral lists this ribosomal RNA (105 nucleotides) under Gossypium arboreum. Lineage: Eukaryota; Viridiplantae; Streptophyta; Magnoliopsida; Malvales; Malvaceae. The record is from RNAcentral.